RNAcentral lists this ribosomal RNA (427 nucleotides) under uncultured bacterium. RNAcentral's name for it is "partial 16S ribosomal RNA". It matches the Rfam family "Bacterial small subunit ribosomal RNA", at positions 354 to 796 of the family's 1533-position model. The record is from RNAcentral.
GUGGGGAAUAUUGGGCAAUGGGGGCAACCCUGACCCAGCGACGCCGCGUGAGGGAAGACGGCCUUCGGGUUGUAAACCUCUUUUGUACGGGAAGAAGGAAGUGACGGUACUGUACGAAUAAGUCCCGGCUAACUACGUGCCAGCAGCCGCGGUAAUACGUAGGGGACGAGCGUUGUCCAGAAUUACUGGGCGUAAAGGGCGCGCAGGCUGUGCUGCAAGUCAGCUGUGAAAUGUCUGGGCUUAACCCGGGCAUGCGGUUGAGACUGCAGUGCUGGAGUGCUGUAGAGGCAAGUGGAAUUCCCAGUGUAGCGGUGAAAUGCGUAGAUAUUGGGAAGAACACCGGUGGCGAAGGCGACUUGCUGGGCAGCAACUGACGCUGAGGCGCGAAAGCCAGGGGAGCAAACGGGAUUAGAAACCCGGGUAGUCC